GAAAGACCUUUUAUAACUAAACUAUUAUGUUGUUGCAGACAGUUUGAAACAUCCAAUUUGAAGACAUUGCAAUCUCCAAAAUCAACCUCUUUUCAGGAUGACCUUAAGGUUGGAGGAGACGGCAGAGAACGCAACUGAGCUUUAGUGUAAAGCCUUAGCAAAAUACUCAGGUGAGGGAGCAGCAUUAGAAUCAUCACAUUGGAAACUCCAACGACACUCACUAGUUGGAGAAUUUCAUUUGGUUAACACGAUUAAACAGGAAAUCUCAUGAGUUUCCUAUUUAACCGCGUUAGUCCCAUUGUUGUGAAUGGCUUGUUUGACUAUGGUAUGGAUUUUGACCUGCCUUCGUGGUAUGGACUUUGACCUGCCUUCGUGGUAUGAAUUUUGACCUGCCUUCGUGGUAUGGAUCUUGACCUGCCUUCGUGGUAUGGAUUUCGACAUGCCCUUGUGGUAUGGAUUUUGGGUAUGCACCUGUAGUGCGGAUUUUGAUUGUGGUCCGAAUGGUUGACAGUUGAUUGUACUAUGGAUGAGUGGUAUGGUUAUGAUUGAUGGUUCAUUGAAUCUCAUGGAUGUAUUUGUGUUGUAACGAUGUGUAGUUCCUGUUUCGCAAUGUUCUAAUGUUAUUAUUCUAUUUAAACCCACCAUGUUAUAUAUUGCAUGUAUUUAAUGAUUAACUCUCUCUAUGUUGUCUUGUUUACUCAAUCCGUGGUAAUCGGAUUGUAGUUGGAGCUAAGGAAUAGGAACCUUCAGAGUCUUGGAGUAAAUUAGCUUGCAUUGGUUUUGGCGUGUGAUUUCCGAGUUAUCUAGAGGAUUGUUUAAGUUGAUAUUGGACCCGUUUAUGAGAAUUGUUCAUUUAUGUUUUGAUGUUCUCUUAAUAGAUUUCAAAUGACUAGUGUUGUGGAAUUACUGUACUGUUAUUCCUUUUAUUGUUUCACUCAUACUAAUGGAGUGGUGUUGGU
This is a non-coding RNA of Lupinus albus (white lupine), 959 nucleotides long. The record is from the annotation of a GenBank genome assembly. NCBI's taxonomy places the organism in Eukaryota, Viridiplantae, Streptophyta, Magnoliopsida, Fabales, Fabaceae.